UACGUAGGGGGCAAGCGUUAUCCGGAUUUACUGGGUGUAAAGGGAGCGUAGACGGCAUGGCAAGUCAGAUGUGAAAGCCUGGGGCUCAACCCCGGGACUGCAUUUGAAACUGUCAGGCUGGAGUGCAGGAGAGGUAAGCGGAAUUCCUAGUGUAGCGGUGAAAUGCGUAGAUAUUAGGAGGAACACCAGUGGCGAAGGCGGCUUACUGGACUGUAACUGACGUUGAGGCUCGAAAGCGUGGGGAGCAAACAGG
Molecule: ribosomal RNA, 253 nt
Filed under: uncultured bacterium
Lineage: Bacteria
Description: partial 16S ribosomal RNA
Rfam family: Bacterial small subunit ribosomal RNA
Source: RNAcentral